Molecule: ribosomal RNA, 1721 nt
Filed under: Francisella tularensis
Lineage: Bacteria; Pseudomonadati; Pseudomonadota; Gammaproteobacteria; Thiotrichales; Francisellaceae
Description: partial 23S ribosomal RNA
Rfam family: Bacterial large subunit ribosomal RNA
Source: RNAcentral
UUUAAUAGGGCGACUAGUCGCUAGGAGUAGACCCGAAACCGGCGCGAUCUAUCCAUGGCCAGGUUGAAGAUUAGGUAGUACUAAUUGGAGGACCGAACCCAAUACUGUUGCAAAAGUAUGGGAUGAGCUGUGGAUCGGAGUGAAAGGCUAAUCAAGCACGGAGAUAGCUGGUUCUCCCCGAAAACUAUUUAGGUAGUGCCUCGUGUAUAACUCAUUGGGGUAAAGCACUGUUUCGACAAUGGGGGUUUUACGACCUUACUGACUCGAUGCAAACUCAGAAUACGAUGAAGUUCGAUCACGGGAGACACACUGCGGGUGCUAAGGUCCGCAGUGGAAAGGGAAACAGCCCAGACCGCCAACUAAGGUCCCAAAGUCAUAGCUAAGUGGGAAACGAAGUGGGAAGGCCCAGACAGCCAGGAGGUUGGCUUAGAAGCAGCCACCCUUUAAAGAAAGCGUAAUAGCUCACUGGUCGAGUCGGCCUGCACGUAAGAUUUAACGGGGCUAAGCUAUGCACUGAAGUUGCGGAAUAUAUUUAGUAUAUUGGUAGGGGAGCGUUCUGUAAGCCGAUGAAGGUGAAUUGAGAAGUUUGCUGGAGGUAUCAGAAGUGCGAAUGCUGACAUGAGUAACGUAAAAUAAGUGAGAUUCUUAUUGGCCGAAAACCCAAGGGUUCCUACGCAAUGUUAAUCAACGUAGGGUAAGCCGGCCCCUAAGGCGUAGCUGAAGAGUGAAGUCGAUGGGAAACAGGUUAAUAUUCCUGUGCUGCUUAUAUGAACGAAGGAGGGACGGAGAAGGUUAGGUAGGCCUGGCGAAUGGUUGUCCAGGUGAAAGUAUGUAGGUAGGAAUGCUAGGCAAAUCCGGUGUUCUGUUGAUCUGAGAUACGAGACGAAGUUAAACUUGUUUGACGAAGCUAUUGAUACCAUGCUUCCAGGAAAAGCUUCUAAGUAUAUUGUAUAAGUGACCGUACUGUAAACCGACACUGGUGGGUAGGUAGAGAAUACUAAGGCUAUGAGAUAACUCUGGUGAAGGAACUAGGCAAAAUGACACCGUAACUUUGGAAGAAGGUGUGCCCUUGAUGGUGAUGAGACUUGCUCUUUGAGCUGUUGGGGGUUGCAGAUACCAGGUGGCUGCGACUGUUUAUCAAAAACACAGCACUCUGCGAAAUCGUAAGAUGAAGUAUAGGGUGUGACGCCUGCCCGGUGCUGGAAGGUUAAUUGAAGGGGUUAGCGCAAGCGAAGCUCUGGAUCGAAGCCCCAGUAAACGGCGGCCGUAACUAUAACGGUCCUAAGGUAGCGAAAUUCCUUGUCGGGUAAGUUCCGACCUGCACGAAUGGCGUAACGAUGGCCACACUGUCUCCACCAGAGACUCAGUGAAAUUGAAAUCGCUGUGAAGAUGCAGUGUACCCGCGGUUAGACGGAAAGACCCCGUGAACCUUUACUAUAGCUUUGCACUGGACUUUGAAUAUUUAUGUGUAGGAUAGGUGGGAGACCAUGAAGCAGCUACGCCAGUAGUUGUGGAGUCGUCCUUGAAAUACCACCCUUGAAUAUUUGAAGUUCUAACUCAGGAGAGAUUCGAGGACAGUGUAUGGUGGGUAGUUUGACUGGGGCGGUCUCCUCCUAAAGAGUAACGGAGGAGUACGAAGGUGCACUCGGUACGGUCGGAAAUCGUGCCAAGAGUAUAAAGGCAAAAGUGCGCUUGACUGCGAGAGUGACGGCUCGAGCAGG